UGGUGCUAUCCGAAGUCUUUGAAUCACCUUUUAUGUCUAUGGUUUUCCAUUGAGCAUAUUACUUGUAUUCAUGCAUCAUAGGGUAGUGAUAUUAUGCAAGUGAUAUUUGAAUAUGUGAAUGCUUAUCAAUGUUGAGAAAAUGUGAACUUAGAAUGUGGACAUGGAACCCUAUGAAUGUAUGGACUAUAGCAAUAGUAAACUUGGGGACAUUCAACUAGAGAUUUGGUUAGCAUCAAGAAAUGGAAUUGUGAAACUAGUAUAAAGAACUAGUUAGAGUAAAGUGUGACAGUGUUUGUCAGUUGAAUCCUCUAAAGGGGGAUCAGAUCAUACUCACAUUUGUUUGGUUCAAGUGAGGUCGCUCCUCCUUGAACGAUGAGCUCCGGAGUAGUCAUCUUUACUGGACCAGGAGGUGCGUCUCCCCCAGUUGACGGUCCCGUCGGGUGCAGGUUGCGUCUACCCGAUAUUUGGGAUAGCGUCAGUGAGUUAUUGUUAACCAAAGGGUUAACCAAAAGAAUUGGGUAAUUUCAGUGAGAGCAUGCAUGCAUAUUUACAGUUUUCAUAUACUACUUCUUUCAGCUUUGCACAGGCAUUGUAGUAGUUACAUGUUAUAGCUGGUUACUAUCUGUUUACUUUUCUUGCCUACAUAUGCCUGAAUAGACCUAGUGGGUGAGUCGGCGAGGUCGGCGGCCGAACCCACUGGGAACUUUUAGUAGUUCUCACACCACUAACCAUACAGGUUCCAGCGCGAGCGGUAUGGCCGAGGAUCGCGGCAAGAGCUCAGCAGCUUAGCUAGUGGACACCCGUGUGCUAGUAGCAUACCAUUUUGAGUUCAUGUGAGAUAUUUUGAUGUACAGAGACAUGUAAAUGAAUGUAUUAAAGAGCAUGUAUAUAACUAAAUGUUUCAGUUAUUCAGUUCAGUUUAAAAGUUUUAAAUGAUAGUGCAUUUCAUUUAUAGUUAGUUACUUUCACUUGUGCUUGUAGCUUGCCCUCGUGCAAACCAUGUAUAUUGAAAUGUCAUCCUGAAAAUUGUUUAUUUCUUUAUACAUGUACUCGUUGUUGUUGAGCCUUGGGCGGACAGAGGAGGUUCUGUCCGUUCGGCGUCUGUGUACGGGCCCGGAUCGACCAAAUUGGCGAUAGCGGGAUGUGACAGAUAAAGUGGUAUCAGAGCAACGCAAGUGAAAUUAUAGGAUGGACCUAGGGACCUUAGGAUGGAAAACCAUAAGGAUCUAGCUUCGUGAGAGACGAGAAUUUUGGUAAAUGGCGAAAGGUUAAACCGAUUGGGUUAUGUGUUGUAUACCUCUAUAAAGGAUCUUAGAGGUAGAUUUAAGGAAUAGUGUAUUCUCAACAGGGAGUGUUCAUGUUGGGUGCACACAAUAUGAAACCGAGUGAUGAGAAUAGGCUUCCUUGUAUGACUUUCGCCUGAUUUGAGUCGUGUUGACGAUAGUUGUUUCGUGUUUGACCUUGAAGGUCAAGAAUCGGUCACGUUGUUACGCGUUUAGUGGUCUCGUGUAGUUGAUCUCUAAUGAGAUCGAUAUGGUUCGGGAUAAGUGGAAUCCUUGAAUUGACCGAACUUGAUGGAAACUUGAAACUUUGGGGUCUGUUAGUCACACCGUGGUAGGGUUGUGACGAUGAAAAGUCGUAGUGCAAUGUCAGCGAGAGGCUGUUGUAUAUUUGGUGGAUUGAGUCAAUGGACUCCAGAGGACGGUGGAGUAGUUGGAUAACCCUUGUGGCCUUCAGGAAAGUAUAGUCCAUCUGUUGUGGAUGAAGAAAUAUUUGUGCGUCGAGAAUCUAUGAUUUGGAGUCAGGGAAAUCUUCCAUGGAAGGAUUUGUGUAUCGAUGACAGGAUACAGAGUUGUUGUUGGAAUUAACGACAAGUGAGCUUCAAGAUAAGUCGUGGGGGCUAUAGCAGGGUGCCUGCUCGGUGAAAAGUACGUAGAAAGAUUUUCUGCAUGCUAUGUUGUGAUUAGUGCACAGUGUGAGGUAUUAGAGACAAGGCCGGUUAUAAUAUGUGGAGACUUCGAUAGAAGGAUUGUUGGAGUUGUAUACUCUCCUAGUUCACAAAUUUCUGAUGAAGUGUUGGAUUGAAUCUUGUGGUUGAAGUUAGGUGGUAUCUCGUGCAGAAGGGGCGCAAAUGAAUUAGUGAAGAUGGGGGAUGAGCGACUGAUGUAUGGUUCGGGUGGUCAAUCGAGUGUUAAGCGACACCUGGAAGAGAGUUGCAGUCGUCAUCCUAGAAUUCAGAAAGGUCUAAUGACUGGCCUUUUUAUUUGAGAGGACUGGUUAUGAUAACUUUCACCGGCAAGGCCGUGUGUAUUGUUGGUUAUAGUAAAUUGACUUCAGUAGGAAGAUUGUAUACUUGGGAACGAGGUGAACUCCAAACAGUACUUGCAAGAGUGUGAUAGAGACUUGGAUUUGAUGACCCUAGCAUACAAGUAUGAAGAGAAUGUAUCAUCUAUUGUGGAAUAGAUGGUUGGAUAGUGCUAUUGGGGCUUGAGAUAAAGAUGGAAAUGGUGAACCUACUCUUUAAAGCAUUCGGAUGAUAUUCCGAGAAAUUGAGUAAUGGUAAAGGCGUCGUUGUUGUGGUGUGAUUAGACUAUCACCUAGUUUUGGCGAGUCGGUCGAGCUGUACCUCAAAUAAGUUGAGAGAAUUUGUGUUUACAUAUUAGAGGCCUAGGCUGAGUUGCCUAGCGGGUGAUAUCUAAUGAAAGAUGCGAUAGUAUAGGACACUUGAGUUUAGUUGUCCGUAGAGUGUGGAUUGUGGCUCAGCCAAGAGAGUGUGUUGGCAGUAGCACGUGAGCGUUGCUAGGUGUGAAGCGUGCCAUGGAUCACUCGCGGGGCUAGUAGCUCGCACUAAGUACUUAGGAGCCGAUAGUAAUGUGGAUUGCUCGAUAGGACAUGUCGUGUGUGACGACCGUUGAGGAUGUAGCUUGAGGACGAUCCGUGCCUGGAUAAUGUGUGGACCUUAGAGCCUAAGGCCAUUCGAAUAGGCGCAGUCGGCUGUGUGUGACAGUGGCCCGAUACCUAUAGGUAGGGCAGAGAUUCUGAUCGGGGCGGUAGUCCGAGCUUAGAUCAGUGAUGUGGUGUGCCACAUAUUGGAUCGUGGGAUGAGUGAUACAUCGAGAGUGUGAAUUUGAUCCAACCUCAAGAUUGUAGGGGUUUGGAAUUUGGAUUGCUCCUAGUUGGAGUAGGUAUUUGAGACUUUACCUCAUGAUGAUUGGGUCUGCGCUUGCGAGCGAGAGACGCUGUGUGAUAUAGCGAUUGAGCUAGGCGAUAGACCUAUGUCGGAUUGGUGGCUUGUAAAUCAAUUUAUGAUAAUUGGGACAAGCGUUUAACCACUUGCUCUAGAAAUGCAAGAGUCGGUGUAGUAUUGUGAAUAGGGGGAUAGUGGCCCUAGGAGUGGGGGCUCGGUCCUACUGUUUGCCUGUUUUGAAUCGCCGAGUUAUGCGCUGUUGAGGAGUUAAGAUUAGAGGCACGAACGAAAGUGUUCAUGGAGACUCGUUGCGAGAGAUUGGUAUAAUGCAAACGUGGCUGGAAAAGUAAAAGAUUUUCUUUGAGAUUAUUGUGUAGUGGAAGCCACGUGAGAUCUUGGAGAAUUAUGCCUUCAAAUCAUUAGAGUGUGGAGAUGUUAGAAUGAGCCCUUUGUCGAGGAGUGGAAAUUUGUGGGUGAUGGAACACUCACAAUUGAGUGGUGUACUGUGAUAUCGCAGGUAGCGAUGCCAGGUGAGAAAUGAAAUAGAUUCCAUCGGAGAGUAAUGGGUAUAGUAGAUGUUACCUAAUAAGUUUGUAUAUGAAUCAAGGUAGUCUACGGACUUUUUGAGUAAGCGCCAUGCAGGAAUGAUCCCCACUGUAAGAAAAAAAAAAAAAAACAGAUAGUACUAUUCUUAGAAGUAAAGUGAUGUUUAUUGGUAUGAAUUGGUUAUCAUCUAUUGAUGAUAAGAAUGAUAACACGAGCAUGUUAAGUUGAUGGUGCGGAUAGUUGUUGAUUGUAUGAAAAGAAUGCUAAUUCUAAAGCAUGUCAUUAAGUGAGAAUUAAAUUGGCAUAAUAACCAAGGCAAAUAAGUCUUUGAUAGUAAAUGAGACUAGAGUAUAGUAAGUCAUUGAAUGUUGACUUGUAUUGCCAUUGGAAGUUAGAGAACAUAUAAUAAUCAGCAGGAAGAAUAGGGCAUAUUCUGGAUGUGCUCGAUUGAUUAUUAGGAUGAUUGGCACAAGUGGUUACCAAAAAUUGUGAGAUUAUGGUGCCCAACCUAAGGAAUUAGAGUAACCCCUAUUUACUAGGGGAUGGUGAACAUAAGAAAAUUGCUCUGGGAUGUGAAGUAUACAAGAAAAUGCACAAUGAAUUUCAAAUUGAUUGAACAGAACUCCUCAUUUGUUCCAAGGGAGAACUAUAGAAUUACUAGAGAAAAUAACUUGGAAAUAGUGUCAAUUGUGCAUUUUGGAUUUGUGUGAAUGAGGAAAGUGCAGAAUAGUAUAAUUCUGUAUAUUGGUGAGUGUUGGACCCUAUCUUCAUAUGUUUAACUGGAUGAAUGAAGAUAUGUAAGUGUAUCUAAGUUUCGCGGACGAAACUUUUGUUAACGGGGGGAGAUUGUAAUAUAUGGAAAAUUUGAGUUGCGAUGCUAACUUUCUUCUGGAAGAUCAAAGUGAAGUUUGAAUUGGAUGUGUAUCAUUCCAGAGUGUUUUGGGAUGUGUGGGAAUGAUCUCUAAAUGUAAUUGAGUAUUCGGGCACAAAUCGGGCACGAAAUAAACUUGAAAGGGGAUUUUUGGAUUAUGACGCUAACUUCGACCUACGCGAUCAAAGUGAGAUAUGAAUGUUAAUUAUAGUAACUCCGAAUUAUUUUGGAAGUGCGAGGAUAGUUAAUGGCAAAUUCGGAGAUGCUUAGAUGUAAUAUGUCGGAUUUUGGUUAUGUUGCUAAGCUUGAUCAAAUGGAUCAAAAUAAUGCCAAAAUAAAAUUGGGUUGUUUCCGAGCUUAAUUGGUAGCUUCGGCAUCGUAUUUAGUAUGUUUUGGAAGUGUUGGGAUGGACUCGGAGUGAAUUAGAUGCGCAAAAGGAGCUGAAAAUCUGCUGCUGCCAGCUGCUGUUAGUGCAGGGACUGAACUGUAAAGCUGCAAGGACUGUUGGACUGUUUUGUAAACAGAAUUACUGUUUUGUAAAGGAGAUAAUUACAGCUUUGUAGUGGGGUUUAGUUGCAGUUUUUUUUUGGUCUUAUCUACAGCCAGCUCAGCCCCAAUUGCUACGUGUUGAGAAAUCUCCUCUCCUCUCAUCUUCUUUUCGUUUCUUUCUCUCUCUCUCUAAACUCUAAGGUUGGCCGGUUGAUGGUUGAAGAAAGAAGGAUUUUGGAGCAGGGAAAAGCUUGGUAGAGCUGAAUUUCAAGGUAACUUUGAUCAAAUCCUGGUUAGAGUUGAGUUAUUUACCUUCACAGGAAGUUAGUUGGAGUUUCAUGAUAAUUAAAGUGUAUAGAAAGCUUAAGAAAGCUGUAUCAUGGACAGCACAUAGGUAUUUCCUGGAUUAGAAGUGAAAUUGAAUGAGAAACCAUGCAAUUCCUGGUUUGAGGGUUAUGUAUUUACAUUCUAAAGAGAUCUAAGCCGCAGAUUUAAGUAUUAGAGCUCUUAAUACCAUGAGAAGGCUUAAGGGAAAUUUCAGGGCAGCUUGUAUGUGGAGUUAUGUUUGUGAAUUGUAUGUUAAAGAAAGAAAUCUGCUGUGAAUGAACCUUAAUUAUUGAACAAGAGUGAUGUUAAUCACUGCAUAAAGAGGUUAAAUCAUGGAUAAUUUAGCAUAUAGGGAUUUAAUUAUGCUGAAAACUGCAUAUAUGUAUAUAUGGAUAUAUAUAUAUAUAUAUAUAUAUAUAUAUAUAUAUACACAUAGAAGGAAUGGUUAGAGUAAAAUCUAAAAUAGAUUACCUCUAAACCUAGUUAUAGAUGAUUCCCUGCUGUGUAAAGAAGUUAAGUAAAGGGUUCCUAUGAGCUGAAUUAGAGAACUAACUAGAUGUAUAUGUAUAUUGAUACUAUGCAUACAAAUUGAGUUAGUUAGCCUGGAGAAGAGUUAGAUAAAGAGUUCUUGGCUGCUAGGACUUGAAACUUGGUGAGUUGGUGGGCAGAUUAGUGUGUUUGGUCUUGUUGGAGCUGCCGAAAUGGGAAGCUCAACCUGGGAAGCUUCGAACCUGAGGUAAUUAGUUACUUCUCAGCUGUGGUGUAAUUUAAUUGCUCAUUGAGAGAGAUUCUUAGGUGAAUUAAGUCGUAGAAGCUUAAUAAACCCUGUUGGGAGCAGAUAUGUAUAUAUGAUGGUACUUAUUAAUGAUUGUUGGCAGAAGAGGAAUUGUGAGCUGCUGCCUUGAUGCAAGUUCUGGGCGCCCGAAAUUGAAAAGGAAUUGAGGAGUUGGCAGCUUGCUGCCUGAUUGUGAUGGGAGGAGCAUCCGAAUUGAGGGGCCAGUAGUUGAAUCAUUGAAAUCUGAGGUAAAAGAAAACUUAAUUACUGCUGGAAUUAAUACUUGAAGUUAUACAAGAACUACAUAGAUGUAUGUAUGUAUGUACAUGUAGGUGUAUAUGUGCAGAAUGGUAAGGAGUGAAACCUGGAAUAAGUCAAUCUUAAUUCCUGAAUUGGUAUAAUGUUAAUUGCUGUAAGGAAAUGUUAAGUGAGGAACCUUGGAAGUAUUGAAGCUUCUAAGCAUCAUGAGCUUAUAGAAUCAGCUCUAUGUUAUAUACACAUGUGUGUAUAUGUAUAACUUAGAACUAAUUGUUGGAAGACAAAGUAUGAAGUAAAGUUAUUCUAAACCUGUUAAGUGUAGAGCUACUAAGAAAAUUGAUAGUAAGACUAUGUAUAUGUUGAUAUUAUAUACAUAUAAGUAAGUUGAGGUUAAAAUGCAAGUAGAGACAGAUUGGUCUCUUUCCCUAUUUUGAACUAUAUUGAUUACUCUAUAAGAAGUUUGAGAGCAAUGGAAUUGCUGAAUGGAAUUGGUACUAGUUACUGUGUAAGAAGUUAAGUUAUAUGUAAGAUAGUUAAUGUGUGAGCUAUGAAUUAAAUUGAAGUAGAACCUGUAGCAGAAUUGUAAUGUUAACUAUUAAGAUUGAUGUUACUACUUAAAGAGAGUUAAGUAUGAGUUAUUUUAACUUCUGAAAUCUUAAUCUGCCAUAGAGAAUUUAAUAAAAGAGUAUAUGUAUAGAGGUAUUAACACUAUACCUAUAUAUAUAUAUAUAUAUAUAUAUAUAUGCAAGUUAAAGUCGAAAUGCAAAGUUGUAGAAGAUGUGAAUGUAACUUCGGUUUAAUCUCUUUUAUUCCUUUCUAAAUGAAGGUCAGACGUGCUCGGAAGUUCGAAUUGAUAUUCCGACGGACCUACGAUGCGUGAAUUAAGAAAUGCUUCGUUCUAGCCCUAUUCGCAUCGAGUCGCAUAGACUAAUGUUUGUACGGUUCGUGACGUUGGUUCUAGUCUUUGACAUCACUACAGGUGGGUGGUGCUAUCCGAAGUCUUUGAAUCACCUUUUAUGUCUAUGGUUUUCCAUUGAGCAUAUUACUUGUAUUCAUGCAUCAUAGGGUAGUGAUAUUAUGCAAGUGAUAUUUGAAUAUGUGAAUGCUUAUCAAUGUUGAGAAAAUGUGAACUUAGAAUGUGGACAUGGAACCCUAUGAAUGUAUGGACUAUAGCAAUAGUAAACUUGGGGACAUUCAACUAGAGAUUUGGUUAGCAUCAAGAAAUGGAAUUGUGAAACUAGUAUAAAGAACUAGUUAGAGUAAAGUGUGACAGUGUUUGUCAGUUGAAUCCUCUAAAGGGGGAUCAGAUCAUACUCACAUUUGUUUGGUUCAAGUGAGGUCGCUCCUCCUUGAACGAUGAGCUCCGGAGUAGUCAUCUUUACUGGACCAGGAGGUGCGUCUCCCCCAGUUGACGGUCCCGUCGGGUGCAGGUUGCGUCUACCCGAUAUUUGGGAUAGCGUCAGUGAGUUAUUGUUAACCAAAGGGUUAACCAAAAGAAUUGGGUAAUUUCAGUGAGAGCAUGCAUGCAUAUUUACAGUUUUCAUAUACUACUUCUUUCAGCUUUGCACAGGCAUUGUAGUAGUUACAUGUUAUAGCUGGUUACUAUCUGUUUACUUUUCUUGCCUACAUAUGCCUGAAUAGACCUAGUGGGUGAGUCGGCGAGGUCGGCGGCCGAACCCACUGGGAACUUUUAGUAGUUCUCACACCACUAACCAUACAGGUUCCAGCGCGAGCGGUAUGGCCGAGGAUCGCGGCAAGAGCUCAGCAGCUUAGCUAGUGGACACCCGUGUGCUAGUAGCAUACCAUUUUGAGUUCAUGUGAGAUAUUUUGAUGUACAGAGACAUGUAAAUGAAUGUAUUAAAGAGCAUGUAUAUAACUAAAUGUUUCAGUUAUUCAGUUCAGUUUAAAAGUUUUAAAUGAUAGUGCAUUUCAUUUAUAGUUAGUUACUUUCACUUGUGCUUGUAGCUUGCCCUCGUGCAAACCAUGUAUAUUGAAAUGUCAUCCUGAAAAUUGUUUAUUUCUUUAUACAUGUACUCGUUGUUGUUGAGCCUUGGGCGGACAGAGGAGGUUCUGUCCGUUCGGCGUCUGUGUACGGGCCCGGAUCGACCAAAUUGGCGAUAGCGGG
Molecule: long non-coding RNA, 8578 nt
Filed under: Ananas comosus (pineapple)
Lineage: Eukaryota; Viridiplantae; Streptophyta; Magnoliopsida; Poales; Bromeliaceae
Description: long non-coding RNA (ACOM_LNC036241)
Source: RNAcentral